UACAGAGGUCUCAAGCGUUGUUCGGAUUCACUGGGCGUAAAGGGUGCGUAGGCGGUUGGGUAAGUCUGUCGUGAAAUCUCCGAGCCUAACUCGGAAACUGCGUCGGAUACUAUUCAACUCGAGGAAUGGAGGGGAGACUGGAAUUCUCGGUGUAGCAGUGAAAUGCGUAGAUAUCGAGAGGAACACCAGCGGCGAAGGCGAGUCUCUGGACAUUUCCUGACGCUGAGGCACGAAAGCCAGGGGAGCAAACGGG
RNAcentral lists this ribosomal RNA (253 nucleotides) under uncultured bacterium. RNAcentral describes it as "partial 16S ribosomal RNA". It matches the Rfam family "Bacterial small subunit ribosomal RNA", at positions 524 to 776 of the family's 1533-position model. The record is from RNAcentral.